CAGUCGCCGCGGGAAUACGUAGGUGGCAAGCGUUGUCCGGAAUUAUUGGGCGUAAAGGGCUCGCAGGCGGUUUCUUAAGUCUGAUGUGAAAGCCCCCGGCUCAACCGGGGAGGGUCAUUGGAAACUGGGAAACUUGAGUGCAGAAGAGGAGAGUGGAAUUCCACGUGUAGCGGUGAAAUGCGUAGAGAUGCGGAGGAACACCAGUGGCGAAGGCGACUCUCUGGUCUGUAACUGACGCUGAGGAGCGAAAGCGUGGGGAGCGAACAGGAUUAGAUACCCGAGUAGUCCCUGUCUCUUAUAC
RNAcentral lists this ribosomal RNA (301 nucleotides) under uncultured bacterium. RNAcentral's name for it is "partial 16S ribosomal RNA". It matches the Rfam family "Bacterial small subunit ribosomal RNA", at positions 509 to 807 of the family's 1533-position model. The record is from RNAcentral.